AAUAAGUUGGCAGAUAAAUGUAAAUGAUUUAGGAUCAUUAGAUGAAUUACAAUUCACUUAUUA
RNAcentral lists this transfer RNA (63 nucleotides) under Helobdella robusta. The record is from Rfam by way of RNAcentral. Lineage: Eukaryota; Metazoa; Annelida; Clitellata; Rhynchobdellida; Glossiphoniidae.